This 468-nucleotide ribosomal RNA is filed under the name uncultured bacterium. RNAcentral's name for it is "partial 16S ribosomal RNA". It matches the Rfam family "Bacterial small subunit ribosomal RNA", at positions 28 to 507 of the family's 1533-position model. The record is from RNAcentral.
GACGAACGCUGGCGGCGUGCUUAACACAUGCAAGUCGAACGGAAAGGCCCUGCUUUUGUGGGGUGCUCGAGUGGCGAACGGGUGAGUAACACGUGAGUAACCUGCCCUUGACUUUGGGAUAACUUCAGGAAACUGGGGCUAAUACCGGAUAGGAGCUCCUGCUGCAUGGUGGGGGUUGGAAAGUUUCGGCGGUUGGGGAUGGACUCGCGGCUUAUCAGCUUGUUGGUGGGGUAGUGGCUUACCAAGGCUUUGACGGGUAGCCGGCCUGAGAGGGUGACCGGCCACAUUGGGACUGAGAUACGGCACAGACUCCUACGGGAGGCAGCAGUGGGGAAUAUUGCACAAUGGGCGGAAGCCUGAUGCAGCAACGCCGCGUGCGGGAUGACGGCCUUCGGGUUGUAAACCGCUUUCGCCUGUGGCGAAGCGUGAGUGACGGUAAUGGGUAAAGAAGCACCGGCUAACUACGUG